RNAcentral lists this microRNA precursor (112 nucleotides) under Otolemur garnettii (small-eared galago). Its description in RNAcentral is "miRNA (ENSOGAG00000026379.1)". The record is from RNAcentral. Lineage: Eukaryota; Metazoa; Chordata; Mammalia; Primates; Galagidae.
ACAUACAUGUCUGUGCUUACUCUGUCAUGUUCUCAUUCUCUAUAUGUACAUACGUGUGUGUGUGUGUGUGUGUGUGUGUGUAGACACACACACAUACAUACAUAUAGUAUUC